Molecule: transfer RNA, 68 nt
Filed under: Marmota monax (woodchuck)
Lineage: Eukaryota; Metazoa; Chordata; Mammalia; Rodentia; Sciuridae
Description: tRNA.Ala
Source: RNAcentral
GGAUUGUGGUUCAGUGGUACAGCACUUGCCUAGCAUGUGUGAGGUACUGGGUACAAUUCUCAGCACCA